RNAcentral lists this ribosomal RNA (750 nucleotides) under uncultured bacterium. Its description in RNAcentral is "bacterial SSU rRNA". It matches the Rfam family "Bacterial small subunit ribosomal RNA", at positions 342 to 1103 of the family's 1533-position model. The record is from RNAcentral.
CGAUUAGGCAGCAGUGGGGAAUAUUGGGCAAUGGGCGGAAGCCUGACCCAGCCAUGCCGCGUGCAGGAAGACGGUCCUAUGGAUUGUAAACUGCUUUUAUACGGGAAGAAACACCCCCUCGUGAGGGGACUUGACGGUACCGUAAGAAUAAGGAUCGGCUAACUCCGUGCCAGCAGCCGCGGUAAUACGGAGGAUCCAAGCGUUAUCCGGAAUCAUUGGGUUUAAAGGGUCCGUAGGCGGCCUUAUAAGUCAGUGGUGAAAUCUCCUAGCUCAACUAGGAAACUGCCAUUGAUACUGUAGGGCUUGAAUUAUUGUGAAGUAACUAGAAUAUGUAGUGUAGCGGUGAAAUGCUUAGAUAUUACAUGGAAUACCAAUUGCGAAGGCAGGUUACUAACAAUAUAUUGACGCUGAUGGACGAAAGCGUGGGUAGCGAACAGGAUUAGAUACCCUGGUAGUCCACGCCGUAAACGAUGGAUACUAGCUGUUGGGGGCAACUUCAGUGGCUAAGCGAAAGUGAUAAGUAUCCCACCUGGGGAGUACGAACGCAAGUUUGAAACUCAAAGGAAUUGACGGGGGCCCGCACAAGCGGUGGAGCAUGUGGUUUAAUUCGAUGAUACGCGAGGAACCUUACCAAGGCUUAAUGUAGAUUGGCAGGACAGGAAACUGUUUUUCUUCGGACAUUUACAAGGGCUGCAUGGUGUCGUCAGCUCGUGCCGGGAGGGGUCAGUUAAUCCUAUAACGAGCGCAACC